GCUUUCCCUUCUCUCCUCCCACCUCUUUACACAUAGGCACACACAUGCACACACACACCCGGGCUGACUCCUUCCCUCACGAGCGUCUACUAUCCACUUUCGCCUGAGACCGCAGCAAAGCCAGGGCUUUGUUUUUUUUGUUUCUUCUUUUUUCAUUUGCUUGCUUUGGGUUUUUCCCUCAUGUACAGAGAGACUAGACCCACUUCACCCUUACUCUGCAGAGAGAGCACCCCUGAAAACAUAGGCCUUGGAUUGGCCAUGCAUCAGACUGCAUGCUACUAAUUGAUUUGUGCAUUUACGCCUCCCUAUUAUUUUUGCUCUUUCUAAAAAAAAAAUUUGCUUGCUAACUUUAAUUUUGUAUUCAGUCCACUUCGACAAAUUUCUUCACAUACCCAUUCUGGAAGAAGGGACGAAGAAAAGAAGAGAACGCUUGCGGAAUGCACAGAUGAAAGGGGACAGCAGAAAAAAAAGAGUGAGAAAAUGGAGAGCAUGUUCUGUGGGAGAGCAAGAGAGACAUGACCUACCCACCCAACAUAGCUACUCCCAUUCCAUAUAGCCCAAGACCUGAAAGCGCACGCGAAGCGAACGGUGUAGUCAGGGUAUAAGAAAUAGCACUGGACAAGGUCAGCCUAUGCUUUCGGGAAUGCUGUGGUCUACACUUGUCUUGAGUCUGUGGGAACUCUCCACUAAGGAGGAACUAUGGGAAGAAUUUCAGCUUCAGUGAGGUAAUAUCUCCAGCAAGUUUCGAGUUUAAAGAGAUGAGCCAUUAUGAGGUGGAGCCAUCCGCCAACCCAACAGCACACUCAACACAAUGAAUUGUAUGGUAUCCAAACUAGUGUCAGAUCGACUCUUACUUUCAGGGGACGUCAUAAGACAAUGACCCAACACACAGCCAGGCUGUGUAAGGGCUAUUUGACCAAGAAGAAGAGUGAUAGAGUGCUGCAUCAGAUGACCUGGCCUCUACAAUCACCUGACCUUAACCCAAUUGAGAUGGUUUGGGAUGAGUUGGACCGCAGAGUGAAAUAAAAGCAGCCAGCAAGUGCUCAGCAUAUGUGGGAACUCCUUCAAGACAGUUGGAAUAGCAUUCCAGGUGAAGCUGGUUGAGAGAAUGCCAAGAGUGCACAAAGCUUUCAUCAAGGCAAAGGUGGCUACUUUGAAGAAUCUAAAAUAUAUAACACUUUUUUGGUUACUACAUGAUUCCAUGUCUUAUUUAAUCGUUUUGAUGUCUUCGCCAUUAAUCUGCAAUGUAGAAAAUAAGAUAAAUAAAGAAAAACCCUUGAAUGAGUCGGUGUCUCCAAACUUUUGACUGGUCCUUUAUUGGCCAGUCCAAAAUUACUUUUUAAAUCUGUAACGGAAAUAAAUGUAUUUUCUUUUACCAAGUAAUUUACGGUGUCUAUGCCUUUAGUUUUCCAUGUGGACCAAGUUAUCGUGGAAUGCUGAAAGCAAAGGAUUGGCCAUAAGUUUGUGUUUUUAGGGAGUGAUAUUGGUUUUUGUAAAACCAUUUUCUUCCAUAUUGUUAUGGUAUUCUUAACUAUGAAGUUUUUAAUGUUUUUAGCUUUAUCCUUUGAAAAUAGACACUUAAAAGAUUCUGGGGAUGAGCAUGCACAUCUUCAAUAUGUACCCACUGUUUCUCUUUAGUGCAUUUAACUGUAUGUCACAUGGGUACGAAGACCCGUCGCGCACCUAUACACAUAAAAAACAAUACUAACAAGAAACAAUCUCUGACAAAGACAUGAGGGGAAACAGAGGGUUAAAUACACAAGAGGUAAUGGAUGGGAUUGAAAACAGGUGUGUGGGAAGACAAGACAAAACCAAUGGAAAAUGAAAAAUGGAUCGAUGAUGGCUAGAAGACCGGUGACGUCGACCGCCGAACACCGCCCGAACAAGGAGAGGCAACGACUUCGGCAGAAGUUGUGACACCUGUUUUAUUAAUAUGUAUCAAGUCUGGUAAGACUUUUGCCAUUAUAUUGCGUAUAAGCUCUGUUAUCACUUUAUUGUCACAAUUUAUUAAACGUAUGGGUCUAUAAUCAGCAAGGGACUAUCCAGAUUUUCCUGGUUUCAAUAUAACUGAAAUAACUGUUUGAUACAUGGAACUAGGGAAUACUGAAUUGAGUAAUAUAUAUAUAUAUAAUAUAUGCCAUUUAGCAGACGCUUUUAUCCAAAGCGAUUUACAGCAUGCGUGCUUACGUUUUGCGUGUGGGUGGUCCCGGGGAUUGAACCCACUACCCUGGCCUUACAAGCACCAUGCUCUACCAACUUGAGUGACGUGUGCUGUCAUUUGUGUAAAUAGGGGGGGGGGGGUACUUUGUCUCAAAAUGUUGAGAAGAAUUCUAUGGGAAAGCCAUCCAUUCCGGGUGCUUUUCUCCAUGCAAAUGUGUCUAAUCUUUCUUCUUGGGUGAUCUCUGUUUUUAGUGAUUAUUUUUUGGCUGCUGAUAAUUGCUUUAGAGUUGUUGAGUCUAAGAAUGCUAUAGGAUCUGUCCAACUGUUGUUUAAUUCUGAUUUUACAUACAUUUUCAGAGAAUCUUUUAAAAUCACGUUGUUUCUAAUUACUGCUUUUGUAUCUUUAUCUUUUAAAAUGAUAACUUAUUUAGCAUGUAUUCGUUUCGGGAGAGCUGCGAGAUAUUUAACAGGUUUAUUUGCCAUUAAACAGCAUGGUUUAUUUGAGUUUAACCUGUAGUUGUUGGCUCUCUUCAGAAGUAAAAGAUCGUAUUGUUCGCUCUCUUCAAAAGUAAAAGAUCGUAUUCCUGCUUAAAUUCCGUCCUUUUUUUCUUCUUUACCUUGUAAAGCUUUUUUUAAUGUUUUUAUUCUAAAAUAGUGAUUUAUUUGUUUUUCAUUUCUAAAUGAAAAUUUAGCCUCUUUGGAAUGCUCCCUAAAUUAUUUAUUUUUUAUUACCACGUCUGUCAAUCGUAUCAAAUUAUAAUUUGAUAAUUUAGGUCAUGGCUAAAAUAAUAGACAGACUUUGAUUCUAUCUGCUAACUUCAUAGCUGAACUACCCACUUAAAAAAAAUAUUGUCUUUAAUUACCUUUACAUUUUUGUAAUUUAGCAGACGCUCUUAUCCAGACCAACUUACAGUUAGUGCAUUCAUCUUCAGAUAGCUAGGUGGGACAACCACAUAUCACAGGCAUAUAAAGUACAUUUUUCCUCAAUAACGUAGUAGUAGAGUCAGAGAUAGAAGGGGGGUGCUGGUUAAAUUGUAUUUGGUUUUUUUAGACUCCAUGAGCAACCAAUGGGAUACCACUGGAGGGGCAUUCCCUAUUGGCCGGCUUUGUGCUCUGACCACUAAUAUGGUCCAAUAAGAAGAACGCUAAGGGGCAUGACCAACGUUCCCUCUUGCAGCGCAUCUCCCCGGACUGCCGCACACAACAAAUACAGUAUCAGCCCAUGGAGAGAAGCAUAAAAUUGAAGUUCAACUUUCUACAGUUUUCCCUGUUAAGUAACACCAUCAAUGUUUCCCUUUACUGUGGCUAUUGUGAUCGAAUCAACGCAAUAUUAGCCACUUUCAAUGCAACAUACCGAAACAAAACUAACUAUUCAAAACUAAUCAUCCAAUAGAUUUUGUUGUAUUCAGAACGCAUAGGAGAAGGAUUAUAUUGCAUUGACACGCACGACUCAGCCCAUACUCUACACACAGACUAGUGCGGCGUAACCAAUCAGAGCUGCAGUAGGCCUAUAUGCAAAUAGACCAUUGCCAUUUAUGGAUCUGUGCCAUUUACUUUGGACUGUUAACGGCAUGAGCGGUUGUGAGUAGAUGCGCUUCUUUUGAGAUCAGAGCGAGAGAACAUUUAGUUAAUAUCCUUUGCUAGUUAGUGAGUUAUUAGCCCAGUUAUAGAUCAUGUGUAGUCAGCAAUAGGGGAGUGACUGCUUCCUACAAGAGCACAAAACGUGUACAUUUCUAGACAUCUUUGAAAAGUGAGUCAGGUGAAUAGUUUUUUUUUGUUCUUAAAGGGGCAGUGUAUUUUGAGACAGGUUUGAAUAAGCUAAGUAGCCAAUAAGCAGAGGGUAGGAUAAUUGGUUUGAUUCUCUGUAAUAAAGGUAUGGGAAUAAUAAUGCAUUUUAUUUUGUAAAGUGGUUUCUUGUAUCAAACAACACAACAACAUUUUCAGUCACCGCCUUGUCUGAAGGACAAAUGAAUAAACAGGUUAAUGUCAAGCCCUGCAAGUCUCGUGGAAUGUAGGCCUACAUUGACUGCUACUGUCGGCUGAAUGAUAGCUAUUUCCAUGUUAAAAUGUAGGCUGAAAGACAGCUAUUUCCAUGUUAAAAUGUUAUGGGAUGCUUUUUUUCUAUUGUUUUUGAUGGUAGGCAACUCUGGUUAUGUUCAAAUAGCCAUAGUAAAUCAAAUCAAAUUGUAUUUGUCACAUGCGCCAAGUACAAAAGAUGUAGACCUUACAGUGAACUGCUUACUUACAAGCCCUAACCAACAAUGCAGUUUAAAAAAAAAUACAUAAAAUAAAUAAGAAUAAGAAAUAAAAGUAACAAAUAAUUAAAGAGCAGCAGUAAAAUAACAAUAGCGAGGCUUUACGUAGGGGGCACCGGUACAGAGUCAAUGUGUGGAGGCACUGGUGUUGAGGUAACUGAGGUAAUAUGUACAUGUAGGUAGAGUUAUCAAAGUGACUUUGCAUAGAUAAUAAAAGGGGUGGGGGGGGGGGGGGGCAGUGUAAAUGGUCUGGGUAGCCAUUUCAUUAGAUGUUCAGGAUUCUUGUGGCUUGUGGGUAAAAGCUGUUUAGAAGCCUCUUGGACCUAGACUUGGUGCUCCGGUACCGCUUACCAUGCGGUAACAGAGAGAACAUUCUAUGACUAGGGUGGCUGGAGUUUUUGACAAUUUUUAGGGUCUUUCUCUGACACCGCCUGGUAUUGAGGUCCUGGAUGGCAGGAAGCUUGGCACUGGUGAUGUACUGGGCCUUACGCACUACCCUCUGUAGUGCCUUGCGGUCGGAGGCCAAGCAGUUGCCGUACCAGGCAGUGAUGCAACCAGUCAUUAUGCUCUUGAUGGUGCAGCUGUAGAACCUUUUGAGGAUCUGAGGACCCAUGCCAAACAUUUUCUCCUGAAGGGGAAUACGUUUUGUCGUGGCCUCUUCACGACUGCCUUGGUGUGCUUGGACCAUGUUUGUUUUUGGUGAUGUGUACACCAAGGAACUUGAAGCUCUCAACCUGCUCCACUAUAGCCCCGUUGAUGAGAAUGGGCGCGUGUUCAGUCCUCCUUUUCCUGUAGUCCACAAUCAUCUCUUUUGUCUUAAUCACGUUGAGGGAGAGGUUGUUGUCCUGGCACCACACGGCCAGGUCUCUGACCUCCUCCCCAUAGGCUGUCUCAUCGUUGUUGGGACAGGAGUACAGGAGGCGACUGAGCACCCACCCCUGAGGUGCCCCCGUGAUGAGGAUCAGCGUGACAGAUGUGUUGUUAACUACUCUUACCACCUGGGGGAGGCCCGUCAGGUGUUUCCCUUUGCAGUCUGUAAUAGUUUGCAAGCCCUGCCACAUCCGACGAGCGUCGGAGCCGGUGUAGUAUGAUUCGAUCUUAGUCCUGUAUUGAUGCUUUGCCUGUUUGAUGGUUCGUCGGAGGGCAUAGCGGGAUUUCUUAUAAGCUUCUGGGUUACAGUCCGCUCCUUGAAAGCGGCAGCUCUACCCAUUAGCUCAGUGCGGAUGUUGCCUGUAAUCCAUGACUUCUGGUUGGGGUAUGUACGUACAGUCACUGUGGGGACGACAUCAUCGAUGCACUUAUUUAUGAGGCCAGUGACUGAUGUGGUGUACUCCUCAAUGCCAUUGGAAGAAUCUCGCAACACGUUCCAGUCUGUGCUAGCAAAACAGUCCUUUAGCUUAGCAUCUGCUUCAUCUGACCACUUUUUUAUUGACUGAGUCACUGGCGCUUCCUGCUUUAAUUUUUGCUUGUAAGCAGGAAUCAGUAGGAUAGAAUUAUGGUCAGAUUUGCCAAAUGGAGGGCGAGGGAGAGCUUUGUACACGUCUCAGUGUGUGGAGUAAAGAUGGUCUAGAGUUUUUUUCCCCCUCUGGAUGCACAUUUAACAUGCCGAUGGAAAUUUGGUAUGACGGAUUUAAGUUUCCCUGCAUUAAAGUCUCCGGCCACUAGGAGUGCCGCAUCUGGAUGAGCAUUUUCCUGUUUGCUUAUGGCGGUAUACAGCUCAUUGAGUGCAGUCUUAGUGCCAGCAUCGGUCUGUGGGGGUGUGUAGACAGCUACGAAAAAUACAGAUGAAAACUAUCUAGGUAGAUAGUGUGGUCUCCAGCUUAUCAUGAGAAACUCUACCUCAGGCGAGCAAAACAUUGAGACUUCCUUAGAUAUCGUGCACCAGCAGUUGUUUACAAAUAUACAUAGUCUGCCACCCCUUGUCUUACCAGAGGCUGCUGUUCAAUCCUGCCGAUACAGUGUAAAACCCGCCCGCUGUAUGUUGUUCAUGUCAUCGUUCAGCCACGACUCGUUGAAACAUAAAAUAUUACAGUUUUGAAUGUCCCGUUGGUAGGUUAUUCUUGCUCGUAGGUCAUCGAUUUUAUUUUCCAAUGAUUGCACGUUGGCCAAUAGAACGGAUGGCAGUGGGGGUUUGGUUUACUCGCUCGCCUAUGAAUUCUCAGAAGGCAGCCUGACCUCCUCCCCUCUUUUCUCACAGUAUUCUCUUCACGCAAGUGAGGGAGAUUUGGGGCUGUUCCCGAGAAAGCAGUAUAUCCUUCAUGUCGGACUUGUUGGACUCGUUAAAGGAAAAAGCUUCACCAGUUCGUGGUGAGUAAUCGUUGUUCUGAAGUCCAGAAGUUAUUUUCGGUCAUAAGAGACAGUAGCAUCAACAUUAUGUACAAAAUAAGUUAAAAAGUAAGUUACAAACAACGCAAAAAAACUAACAAAAUAAUACAGUUGGUUAGGAGCACGUAAAACUUCAACCAUCCUCUUGGCCACUGUUAAAACUGUAACUUAAAGCGGGUACAGCCUCAGUGAUCACAGUAAACGUGCGCAGGAAGUUGCACUGAAUUUUUACAAAGUUCGAGUUUGCGCUCUGCAUACCUGAAAUUUGCUCAGUGAUUAUUUUUUUUUGAAGGAACAUUGGUCAUGACCCCCAUAUAUAUGUUUAACCUGAGACUUUCAAGAUUUCUGACCAGCUGAUGAAUACAUACAUGACAAUAAAAGUCCUUUCAGAGACAGAACUUUUAUGGUCAUCUUGUGUCUGUUAUUGUUGAGUUUGUGUUGCAAAUCAAUAAAAACAGAACACUUGGAUGGGUUGCUAUAAACAUGUUUCAUUUCAAUAAAGUAACAUAAAAUGUGA
Molecule: long non-coding RNA, 7257 nt
Organism: Salvelinus fontinalis (brook trout)
Lineage: Eukaryota; Metazoa; Chordata; Actinopteri; Salmoniformes; Salmonidae
Exons: 6
Source: RefSeq, a predicted model, not a curated record